UACGUAGGCAGCAAGCGUUGUUCGGAGUUACUGGGCGUAAAGGGUGUGUAGGCGGUCCCCUAAGUUUGGUGUGAAAUCUCCCGGCUCAACUGGGAGGGUGCGCCGAAAACUGGGGGGCUAGAGUACUGGAUGGGAGAGUGGAAUUCCUGGUGUAGCGGUGAAAUGCGUAGAUAUCAGGAGGAACACCUGUGGUGUAGACGGCUCUCUGGACAGUAACUGACGCUGAGACACGAAAGCGUGGGUAGCAAACAGG
RNAcentral lists this ribosomal RNA (253 nucleotides) under uncultured bacterium. RNAcentral describes it as "partial 16S ribosomal RNA". It matches the Rfam family "Bacterial small subunit ribosomal RNA", at positions 524 to 776 of the family's 1533-position model. The record is from RNAcentral.